This 436-nucleotide long non-coding RNA is filed under the name Ficedula albicollis (Collared flycatcher). RNAcentral describes it as "lncRNA (ENSFALG00000024881.1)". The record is from RNAcentral. Lineage: Eukaryota; Metazoa; Chordata; Aves; Passeriformes; Muscicapidae.
GGGGGGGGGGGGGGGGGGGGGGGGGGGGGGGGGGGGGGGGGGGGGGGGGGGGGGGGGGGGGGGGGGGGGGGGGGGGGCGAAGGCCUGAGGGGAAAAAUGGCGGGAAAAGGAUGUGAGGGGAAAAACGCACGGAAAAGGGAGAAAUCCGAGAGAAAGGGGCGGAUGAAGGACAGAGGUCACCCACAGAUUCCCACAGCGAGCGUGGUUUGACGUCGGCUUCCAGGUGAGUCCCUCACUUCCAGGUGAGUUCUUCACUUCCAGGUGAGUCCCUCACUUCCAGGUGAGUUAAUUCCUCAUUUCCAGGUUAAUUCCUCACUUCCAGGUGAAUUCCUCUCUCUUUUCCCUCCUGACUUCCGCAGGGGGGGGGGGGGGGGGGGGGGGGGGGGGGGGGGGGGGGGGGGGGGGGGGGGGGGGGGGGGGGGGGGGGGGGGGGGGG